Molecule: long non-coding RNA, 537 nt
Organism: Hemicordylus capensis (graceful crag lizard)
Lineage: Eukaryota; Metazoa; Chordata; Lepidosauria; Squamata; Cordylidae
Exons: 3
Source: RefSeq, a predicted model, not a curated record
GGAGGAGGCGGGGGGGGGGGGGAAUGAGGGGAGAUCCAGAGUUUAUGACUCUUUAGGAAGAGAGAGAGAGAAUCUGACCCAGAGAGCCGAGCUGUGGACACUGUUGUUGCCUCAACUUACCUUCUCACUUAAAGCAAUGCCAGAUGAAAACUUUAAGGAACAAUGAAGAAGAGAGGUACGGCUCUGAAACGAUACAUGCCUCUCCAUUCCCUUCUUACCUGCUGAUGUGAGAUAAGAACAGCCCUGACGCCACUUCCUGAUUUGCCGGCAUAAUCUGAGCAUGCUCACGGACCACCACCACCAAUGCAGCAAAAUGACUUGAACCACCCCUACUUGUGGGAAAGGAAACCAUACUCUACUUAUUCUUUUUUCUGUGUAAAACACUUUGAAAACUGUGUUGUUGUUGUUGUUGUUGUUGUUGUUGAAAAGCAGUCUAUAAAUAAUGAUGAUGAUGGUAAACUGGCUGGAGCCAUGGAAAGGUGGAAUAGAUGUGAUUAAAAUAAAUAAAUGAAACCAUAAAUAAAGCAUUUAUCCAUC